GACGAACGCUGGCGGCGUGCUUAACACAUGCAAGUCGAACGGUAAGGCCUUUCGGGGUACACGAGUGGCGAACGGGUGAGUAACACGUGGGUGAUCUGCCCUGCACUUCGGGAUAAGCCCGGGAAACUGGGUCUAAUACCGGAUAGGACUGCGCGGUGCAUGCCGUGUGGUGGAAAGAUUUAUCGGUGCAGGAUGGGCCCGCGGCCUAUCAGCUUGUUGGUGGGGUAAUGGCCUACCAAGGCGACGACGGGUAGCCGGCCUGAGAGGGCGACCGGCCACACUGGGACUGAGACACGGCCCAGACUCCUACGGGAGGCAGCAGUGGGGAAUAUUGCACAAUGGGCGCAAGCCUGAUGCGGCGACGCCGCGUGAGGGAUGACGGCCUUCGGGUUGUAAACCUCUUUCAGCAGGGACGAAGCGUGAGUGACGGUACCUGCAGAAGAAGCACCGGCCAACUACGUG
This 462-nucleotide ribosomal RNA is filed under the name uncultured bacterium. RNAcentral describes it as "partial 16S ribosomal RNA". It matches the Rfam family "Bacterial small subunit ribosomal RNA", at positions 28 to 507 of the family's 1533-position model. The record is from RNAcentral.